GACGAACGCUGGCGGCGUGCUUAACACAUGCAAGUCGAACGGAAAGACCCUGCUUUUGUGGGGUGCUCGAGUGGCGAACGGGUGAGUAACACGUGAGUAACCUGCCCUUGACUUUGGGAUAACUUCAGGAAACUGGGGCUAAUACCGGAUAGGAGCUCCUGCUGCAUGGUGGGGGUUGGAAAGUUUCGGCGGUUGGGGAUGGACUCGCGGCUUAUCAGCUUGUUGGUGGGGUAGUGGCUUACCAAGGCUUUGACGGGUAGCCGGCCUGAGAGGGUGACCGGCGACAUUGGGACUGAGAUACGGCCCAGACUCCUACGGGAGGCAGCAGUGGGGAAUAUUGCACAAUGGGCGGAAGCCUGAUGCAGCAACGCCGCGUGCGGGAUGACGGCCUUCGGGUUGUAAACCGCCUUCGCCUGUGACGAAGCGUGAGUGACGGUAAUGGGUAAAGAAGCACCGGCUAACUACGUG
RNAcentral lists this ribosomal RNA (468 nucleotides) under uncultured bacterium. Its description in RNAcentral is "partial 16S ribosomal RNA". It matches the Rfam family "Bacterial small subunit ribosomal RNA", at positions 28 to 507 of the family's 1533-position model. The record is from RNAcentral.